AGUCGAGCGGGCGUAGCAAUACGUCAGCGGCAGACGGGUGAGUAACGCGUGGGAACGUACCUUUUGGUUCGGAACACACAGGGAAACUUGUGCUAAUACCGGAUAAGCCCUUACGGGGAAAGAUUUAUCGCCGAAAGACCGGCCCGCGUCUGAUUAGCUAGUUGGUGAGGUAACGGCUCACCAAGGCGACGAUCAGUAGCUGGUCUGAGAGGAUGAUCAGCCACAUUGGGACUGAGACACGGCCCAAACUCCUACGGGAGGCAGCAGUGGGGAAUAUUGGACAAUGGGCGCAAGCCUGAUCCAGCCAUGCCGCGUGAGUGAUGAAGGCCCUAGGGUUGUAAAGCUCUUUUGUGCGGGAAGAUAAUGACGGUACCGCAAGAAUAAGCCCCGGCUAACUUCGUGCCAGCAGCCGCGGUAAUACUAAUGGGGCUAGCGUUGCUCGGAAUCACUGGGCGUAAAGGGUGCGU
This 467-nucleotide ribosomal RNA is filed under the name uncultured bacterium. RNAcentral's name for it is "bacterial SSU rRNA". It matches the Rfam family "Bacterial small subunit ribosomal RNA", at positions 60 to 572 of the family's 1533-position model. The record is from RNAcentral.